GUAUCAAACCAGACCUAGAAGCUUCUAAUCAACAAUAGAGGAGAGAGAAAGUGCCAAAAACCUUUAGCAAAUCUUCUCCCCGAUCCCCCAUCGCGCGACGCCUCUUCCACUUCCCGGAUCAACUUUCCGGCCACCGCUCGAUGAGAGCAAGUGGCGGUUAGGUCCCUUCGUGCCUUCGGUCACAUUUACGGCCUUCCUCCACGCCGAACGGACCUGCAGACUGCAGUGGCUCGAAUCAAGCUGUCUCCUUCGACAGCUUCUUCUUCUUUAACUUCCGGCGACCUCAGUGCUUUCCGGCGAUCCCUAUUAGGAAGAUAUUCUUGCGGGUCCUGAGGAACCAAAUUUCAAAUAGAAGUAUCGGGAAAAGAACAUAGCUUCUAACUAAACUAUAAAACGGUGAGUAGUGUUAGAUAAUUCACAUCAUCUACCUACUUUUGCAUUCAUGCAUGCACAGUUGAAUGCUAUUCAUGCAUUACUUGAUAAAUUCCUAUUUGUGCUGCAAUUUGUUGCUAUUAAAUGUUAUUUGAUUAGUUGUGGCGUGCUAUACUUUGUUUAUGUGGAAUUGGAACGAAGUAGGUCACCGUUGGGUUUGUGAGGGCAGUCUAUAAUACUGUCGGUCAUGUAUGGGGAAAUCGGCGCUCCCGUGUGCAUUUGAUGAUAUGGAUGAUAUGGAAAACUAUAGGGUGACCUCCUGUUGGUAUGGAAAAGAAAAGAGAGUAUAAAUGAGAAGGUUGAUCAAGUGAGGUUGAGAUCGGUUGGCCAUGUAAAAGGGAUCGACUCCCUAGUGCACACGUGACAAGAGGGCAAGCCAUGUGUGAGGAUGGCUCAUCAAGAGUUUUGGUGACGUCACUGACCAAUUUCCCCGUGAUGUGAUUAUGUGAAGGUGUUAAAGAGACUAUGAUCCAACUACUUGAUAUAGCGAUCUAUUAGAUUGUGUUCUUAGGCACCGCGAUGCAAUCAUAUCACACUCAACUGGGUAUGUAUUUUUUUAGGUUUUCAUAGUUUUAUAUUUGUGAUUGAUGUUGUUAUGUCAUUUGUGUGAUUGAGUGCAUGAUCAUAUAACUAGUUGGAUGACUAGAUUGACUUAUAUAUGCAUUUGUGUGAUUGUGGUUGAGAGGUUUAUCUAACCUUACUCAUUGAGUUUAGGCAAUCAACUCUACCUUAAAAUUUUAUUUCAGGUUAAAGCAAGUUGAGGAAUCCUUUUGAAUUCAACUUGGUUAAGCAUUGAAAUAGUGAAAUCUGUUGGUUAUCUGCAAGGUCUUUGGAAAAGUAUUGUAAAUGUAUAAAUUAAUGAAUCUAAUUACUUAGAGUUCCGCAAUUGUAGAUUUAUGUGGGUUAUAAUUAAUAAGUGACUAGAUUAUUAUAUAUAUAUAUAUUGUUUAUUUAUGAAUAAUUCAUACAAAUAUUGGAUAGAGCCUAGAACUCUUGUGAGUUGUCAUUUGAUGAAAGGGGCCUAAGGGUUAGGGAUGUUAAGAUUAGUGAAUCCAAUCUGCUGAUGCUGAUUACGAGCUUUGGAGGCUUUAAGCUCACUCAGGUUUUAGGGUCGGUCCGGUCCAUGGUGAUGGGUCGUGACACUAACAUAUUAGCCGCUCUCUCUUUCUCUCAAAUUUAAAAUCUAAAAACUCCUUUUCUUCUUUCACGGGGCCACUGGUGAGCUGUUACCAGUGGUCACCCCUUUUUAUUUUUUUUUAUAUUUUUUUGUAAAUAAUUCUCAGAUCUGUAUACUGUAUACAGAUCUGAGUUAUUAUCGCUCAAUUAUUGGAUUUGUUGUCGUCUAUAUAUUGAGAUUUUGUUCUCAAAUUGUUGUCACAA
Molecule: long non-coding RNA, 1812 nt
Organism: Jatropha curcas
Lineage: Eukaryota; Viridiplantae; Streptophyta; Magnoliopsida; Malpighiales; Euphorbiaceae
Source: RefSeq, a predicted model, not a curated record